RNAcentral lists this ribosomal RNA (253 nucleotides) under uncultured bacterium. Its description in RNAcentral is "partial 16S ribosomal RNA". It matches the Rfam family "Bacterial small subunit ribosomal RNA", at positions 524 to 776 of the family's 1533-position model. The record is from RNAcentral.
UACAGAGGUCUCAAGCGUUGUUCGGAUUCAUUGGGCGUAAAGGGUGCGUAGGCGGCGCGGUAAGUCGGGUGUGAAAUCUCGGAGCUUAACUCCGAGACUGCAUUCGAUACUGCCGUGCUUGAGGACUGGAGAGGAGACUGGAAUUUACGGUGUAGCAGUGAAAUGCGUAGAUAUCGUAAGGAAGACCAGUGGCGAAGGCGAGUCUCUGGACAGCAACUGACGCUGAGGCACGAAGGCCAGGGGAGCAAACGGG